GGAGAGCUAGGCUAAUGGUAAGUCACCGGUCUUGAAAACCGGCAUCCGAAAGGAUUUGGGGGUUCGAGUCCCUCGCUCUCCG
RNAcentral lists this transfer RNA (82 nucleotides) under Bacteroidota bacterium. RNAcentral describes it as "Bacteroidetes bacterium (groundwater metagenome) tRNA-Ser". It matches the Rfam family "tRNA". From Rfam's summary of the family: Transfer RNA (tRNA) molecules are approximately 80 nucleotides in length. Their secondary structure includes four short double-helical elements and three loops (D, anti-codon, and T loops). The record is from RNAcentral. Lineage: Bacteria; Pseudomonadati; Bacteroidota.